This 451-nucleotide ribosomal RNA is filed under the name uncultured bacterium. RNAcentral describes it as "bacterial SSU rRNA". It matches the Rfam family "Bacterial small subunit ribosomal RNA", at positions 451 to 895 of the family's 1533-position model. The record is from RNAcentral.
GUGGUCCCUAAUACGGGCUACUAAUGACGGUACCUGAAGAAGAAGCACCGGCUAACUACGUGCCAGCAGCCGCGGUAAUACGUAGGGUGCGAGCGUUAAUCGGAAUUACUGGGCGUAAAGCGUGCGCAGGCGGUUAUAUAAGACAGAUGUGAAAUCCCCGGGCUUAACCUGGGAACUGCGUUUGUGACUGUAUAACUCGAGUGUGGCAGAGGGGGGUGGAAUUCCACGUGUAGCAGUGAAAUGCGUAGAGAUGUGGAGGAACACCGAUGGCGAAGGCAGCCCCCUGGGUCAACACUGACGCUCAUGCACGAAAGCGUGGGGAGCAAACAGGAUUAGAUACCCUGGUAGUCCACGCCCUAAACGAUGCGAACUAGGUGUUGGGGAAGGAGACUUUCUUAGUACCGCAGCUAACGCGUGAAGUUCGCCGCCUGGGGAGUACGGUCGCAAGAUU